Molecule: ribosomal RNA, 627 nt
Filed under: uncultured archaeon
Lineage: Archaea
Description: bacterial SSU rRNA
Rfam family: Archaeal small subunit ribosomal RNA
Source: RNAcentral
UUCCGGUUGAUCCCGCCGGAGGUCACUGCUAUUGGGAUUCGACUAAGCCAUGCGAGUCGAGAGGGUUCGGCCCUCGGCUGACGGCUCAGUAACACGUGGAUAAUCUGCCCUAAGGUGGAGGAUACCCUCGGGAAACUGAGAAUAAUACUCCAUAGGUCUAGGAUGCUGGAAUGCAUUUAGACUUAAAGCUCCGACGCCUUAGGAUGAGUCUGCGGACUAUCAGGUUGUAGUCAGGGUAAUGACCUGACUAGCCUACGACGGAUACGGGUUGUGAGAGCAAUAACCCGGAGAUGAUAUCUGAGACACGAUAUCAGGCCCUACGGGGCGCAGCAGGCGCGAAAACUUCACAAUGUGCGAAAGCACGAUGAGGGAAUCCCAAGUGCUUGCUCGUAAGAGUAAGCUGUUUCUAUGUUUAAAACGCAUGGAGAGUAAGGGCUGGGUAAGACGGGUGCCAGCCGCCGCGGUAAUACCUGCAGCUCUAGUGGUGACCGCUAUUAUUGGGCCUAAAACGUCCGUAGCCGGUUUAAUAAAUGCCUGGGUAAAUCGUGUAGCUUAACUAUACGAAUUCCGGGUAGACUGUUAAACUUGAGACCGGGAGAAGUUAGAGGUACUCCUGGGGUAGAGGUG